CGGGAUGUAAGUCAGUGGUCAGACGGCUUGUUUUGGGGACAAGCAGCCGCUGGUUCGAAUCCAGCCAUCCCGACCA
This 76-nucleotide transfer RNA is filed under the name Vacuolonema iberomarrocanum LEGE 07170. RNAcentral's name for it is "tRNA-Pro". It matches the Rfam family "tRNA". Rfam says of the family: Transfer RNA (tRNA) molecules are approximately 80 nucleotides in length. Their secondary structure includes four short double-helical elements and three loops (D, anti-codon, and T loops). Further hydrogen bonds mediate the characteristic L-shaped molecular structure. tRNAs have two regions of fundamental functional importance: the anti-codon, which is responsible for specific mRNA codon recognition, and the 3' end, to which the tRNAs corresponding amino acid is attached (by aminoacyl-tRNA synthetases). tRNAs cope with the degeneracy of the genetic code in two manners: having more than one tRNA (with a specific anti-codon) for a particular amino acid; and 'wobble' base-pairing, i.e. permitting non-standard base-pairing at the 3rd anti-codon position. RNAcentral also lists the same sequence under 4 other names. The record is from RNAcentral. Lineage: Bacteria; Bacillati; Cyanobacteriota; Cyanophyceae; Oculatellales; Oculatellaceae.